This 465-nucleotide ribosomal RNA is filed under the name uncultured bacterium. Its description in RNAcentral is "partial 16S ribosomal RNA". It matches the Rfam family "Bacterial small subunit ribosomal RNA", at positions 28 to 507 of the family's 1533-position model. The record is from RNAcentral.
GACGAACGCUGGCGGCGUGCUUAACACAUGCAAGUCGUACGGUAAGGCCCUUUCGUGGGUACACGAGUGGCGAACGGGUGCGUAACACGUGCGUAACCUGCCCACAACUUUGGGAUAACGCUAGGAAACUGGUGCUAAUACUGGAUAUGUGCUCCUGCUGCAUGGUGGGGGUUGGAAAGCUCCGGCGGUUGUGGAUGGACUCGCGGCCUAUCAGCUUGCUGGUGGGGUAGUGGCCUACCAAGGCGGCGGCGGGUAGCCGGCCUGAGAGGGUGACCGGCCACAUUGGGUCUGAGGUGCGGCCGAGGCUGGUACGGGAGGCAGCAGUGGGAAAUAUUGCACAAUGGGCGCAAGCCUGAUGAAGCAGCGCCGCGUGCGGGAUGACGGCCUUCGGGUUGUAAACCGCUUUCAGAAGGGACGAAGCUUUUUGUGACGGUACCUGCAGAAGAAGCACCGGCUAACUACGUG